GACGAACGCUGGCGGCGUGCUUAAUACAUGCAAGUCGAACGGAAAGGCCCUGCUCUUGUGGGGUGCUCGAUUGGCGAACGGGUGAGUAACACGCGAGUAACCUGCCCUUGACUUUGGGAUAACUUCUGGAAACUGGGGCUAAUACCGGAUAGGAGCUCCUGCUGCACGGGGGGGGAUGGAAAGUGACGGCGGUUGGGGAUGGACUCGCUGCUUAUCAGCUUGUUGGUGGGGUAGGGGCUUACCAAGCCUAUGACGGGUAGCCCGCCUUAGAGCGUGGACAGCCACCUUGGGACUGAGGUACGCCCCAGACUCGUACGGGCGGCAGCAGUCGGGAAUCUGGCACAGUGGGGGGGAGCCUGAUGCAGCAGCGCCGCGUGCGGGAUGCCGGCCUUCGGGUUGUAAACAGCUUUCGCCUGUGCCGAAGCGUGAGUGACGGUAAUGGGUAAGGAAGCCCCGGCUAACUACGUG
RNAcentral lists this ribosomal RNA (468 nucleotides) under uncultured bacterium. RNAcentral's name for it is "partial 16S ribosomal RNA". It matches the Rfam family "Bacterial small subunit ribosomal RNA", at positions 28 to 507 of the family's 1533-position model. The record is from RNAcentral.